Molecule: ribosomal RNA, 502 nt
Filed under: uncultured bacterium
Lineage: Bacteria
Description: partial 16S ribosomal RNA
Rfam family: Bacterial small subunit ribosomal RNA
Source: RNAcentral
AUUGAACGCUGGCGGCAUGCCUUACACAUGCAAGUCGAACGGCAGCGCGGGUGCUUGCACCUGGCGGCGAGUGGCGAACGGGUGAGUAAUACAUCGGAACGUGCCCUAGAGUGGGGGAUAACUAGUCGAAAGAUUAGCUAAUACCGCAUACGAUCUACGGAUGAAAGUGGGGGACCGCAAGGCCUCAUGCUCCUGGAGCGGCCGAUGUCUGAUUAGCUAGUUGGUGGGGUAAAGGCCUACCAAGGCGAUGAUCAGUAGCUGGUCUGAGAGGACGACCAGCCACACUGGGACUGAGACACGGCCCAGACUCCUACGGGAGGCAGCAGUGGGGAAUUUUGGACAAUGGGGGCAACCCUGAUCCAGCAAUGCCGCGUGUGUGUAGAAGGCCUUCGGGUUGUAAAGCACUUUUGUCAGGAACGAAACGGUGGGGGCUAAUACCUCCUGCUAAUGACGGUACCUGAAGAAUAAGCACCGGCUAACUACGUGCCAGCCGCCGCCGUAA